Molecule: ribosomal RNA, 482 nt
Filed under: uncultured bacterium
Lineage: Bacteria
Description: partial 16S ribosomal RNA
Rfam family: Bacterial small subunit ribosomal RNA
Source: RNAcentral
AUUGAACGCUGGCGGCAUGCUUUACACAUGCAAGUCGAACGGUAACAGGCCGCAAGGUGCUGACGAGUGGCGAACGGGUGAGUAAUGCAUCGGAACGUGCCCAGUCGUGGGGGAUAACUACUCGAAAGAGUAGCUAAUACCGCAUACGAUCUAUGGAUGAAAGCGGGGGACGGUAGGGCUUCGCGCGAUUGGAGCGGCCGAUGUCAGAUUAGGUAGUUGGUGGGGUAAAGGCUCACCAAGCCAACGAUCUGUAGCUGGUCUGAGAGGACAACAAGCCACACUGGGACUGAGACACGGCCCAGACUCCUACGGGAGGCAGCAGUGGGGAAUUUUGGACAAUGGGCGCAAGCCUGAUCCAGCAAUGCCGCGUGCAGGAAGAAGGCCUUCGGGUUGUAAACUGCUUUUGUACGGAACGAAACGGCUCUGGUUAAUACCCGGGGCUAAUGACGGUACCGUAAGAAUAAGCACCGGCUAACUACGUG